This is a long non-coding RNA of Ruditapes philippinarum (Manila clam), 347 nucleotides long. RefSeq lists it as uncharacterized. Lineage: Eukaryota; Metazoa; Mollusca; Bivalvia; Venerida; Veneridae. The transcript is spliced from 3 exons. The record is from RefSeq and is a predicted model, not a curated record.
AAAUAUUAGAUUUAGACAAGAACUUGGCAUUCUGGUAAACCAUAGUCUGUAGGAAAAUGAGAGCUUUAACAUUCUUGACUAUUUUGUCAUUGACAUUGCUGUUAGGGGCGGAACACGCGUAAUCGUAUUCGAUGCAAGUGUGUCCACAGAUACAGUGUCCAAAUGAUGGUAACAUUCCCAACAAUUGCAGGGUGCCUAACUAUGUGACUGGAUCAGACGGGACUACCAAUUGCAGAGUAUGUGAUUCUAACGGCUGUGCCUAUAGUUGAGGGGAAAUAACAGAAAAUACAUUGCCUAUAUGUAUUUCAAGUGUUGGCUGUUAUAGUGAAUAAAAAGCAAAGACAUAU